RNAcentral lists this ribosomal RNA (2903 nucleotides) under Escherichia coli. RNAcentral describes it as "23S ribosomal RNA". It matches the Rfam family "Bacterial large subunit ribosomal RNA". Lineage: Bacteria; Pseudomonadati; Pseudomonadota; Gammaproteobacteria; Enterobacterales; Enterobacteriaceae. The record is from RNAcentral.
GGUUAAGCGACUAAGCGUACACGGUGGAUGCCCUGGCAGUCAGAGGCGAUGAAGGACGUGCUAAUCUGCGAUAAGCGUCGGUAAGGUGAUAUGAACCGUUAUAACCGGCGAUUUCCGAAUGGGGAAACCCAGUGUGUUUCGACACACUAUCAUUAACUGAAUCCAUAGGUUAAUGAGGCGAACCGGGGGAACUGAAACAUCUAAGUACCCCGAGGAAAAGAAAUCAACCGAGAUUCCCCCAGUAGCGGCGAGCGAACGGGGAGGAGCCCAGAGCCUGAAUCAGUGUGUGUGUUAGUGGAAGCGUCUGGAAAGGCGCGCGAUACAGGGUGACAGCCCCGUACACAAAAAUGCACAUGCUGUGAGCUCGAUGAGUAGGGCGGGACACGUGGUAUCCUGUCUGAAUAUGGGGGGACCAUCCUCCAAGGCUAAAUACUCCUGACUGACCGAUAGUGAACCAGUACCGUGAGGGAAAGGCGAAAAGAACCCCGGCGAGGGGAGUGAAAAAGAACCUGAAACCGUGUACGUACAAGCAGUGGGAGCACGCUUAGGCGUGUGACUGCGUACCUUUUGUAUAAUGGGUCAGCGACUUAUAUUCUGUAGCAAGGUUAACCGAAUAGGGGAGCCGAAGGGAAACCGAGUCUUAACUGGGCGUUAAGUUGCAGGGUAUAGACCCGAAACCCGGUGAUCUAGCCAUGGGCAGGUUGAAGGUUGGGUAACACUAACUGGAGGACCGAACCGACUAAUGUUGAAAAAUUAGCGGAUGACUUGUGGCUGGGGGUGAAAGGCCAAUCAAACCGGGAGAUAGCUGGUUCUCCCCGAAAGCUAUUUAGGUAGCGCCUCGUGAAUUCAUCUCCGGGGGUAGAGCACUGUUUCGGCAAGGGGGUCAUCCCGACUUACCAACCCGAUGCAAACUGCGAAUACCGGAGAAUGUUAUCACGGGAGACACACGGCGGGUGCUAACGUCCGUCGUGAAGAGGGAAACAACCCAGACCGCCAGCUAAGGUCCCAAAGUCAUGGUUAAGUGGGAAACGAUGUGGGAAGGCCCAGACAGCCAGGAUGUUGGCUUAGAAGCAGCCAUCAUUUAAAGAAAGCGUAAUAGCUCACUGGUCGAGUCGGCCUGCGCGGAAGAUGUAACGGGGCUAAACCAUGCACCGAAGCUGCGGCAGCGACACUGUGUGUUGUUGGGUAGGGGAGCGUUCUGUAAGCCUGUGAAGGUGUACUGUGAGGUAUGCUGGAGGUAUCAGAAGUGCGAAUGCUGACAUAAGUAACGAUAAAGCGGGUGAAAAGCCCGCUCGCCGGAAGACCAAGGGUUCCUGUCCAACGUUAAUCGGGGCAGGGUGAGUCGACCCCUAAGGCGAGGCCGAAAGGCGUAGUCGAUGGGAAACAGGUUAAUAUUCCUGUACUUGGUGUUACUGCGAAGGGGGGACGGAGAAGGCUAUGUUGGCCGGGCGACGGUUGUCCCGGUUUAAGCGUGUAGGCUGGUUUUCCAGGCAAAUCCGGAAAAUCAAGGCUGAGGCGUGAUGACGAGGCACUACGGUGCUGAAGCAACAAAUGCCCUGCUUCCAGGAAAAGCCUCUAAGCAUCAGGUAACAUCAAAUCGUACCCCAAACCGACACAGGUGGUCAGGUAGAGAAUACCAAGGCGCUUGAGAGAACUCGGGUGAAGGAACUAGGCAAAAUGGUGCCGUAACUUCGGGAGAAGGCACGCUGAUAUGUAGGUGAAGUCCCUCGCGGAUGGAGCUGAAAUCAGUCGAAGAUACCAGCUGGCUGCAACUGUUUAUUAAAAACACAGCACUGUGCAAACACGAAAGUGGACGUAUACGGUGUGACGCCUGCCCGGUGCCGGAAGGUUAAUUGAUGGGGUCAGCGCAAGCGAAGCUCUUGAUCGAAGCCCCGGUAAACGGCGGCCGUAACUAUAACGGUCCUAAGGUAGCGAAAUUCCUUGUCGGGUAAGUUCCGACCUGCACGAAUGGCGUAAUGAUGGCCAGGCUGUCUCCACCCGAGACUCAGUGAAAUUGAACUCGCUGUGAAGAUGCAGUGUACCCGCGGCAAGACGGAAAGACCCCGUGAACCUUUACUAUAGCUUGACACUGAACAUUGAGCCUUGAUGUGUAGGAUAGGUGGGAGGCUUAGAAGUGUGGACGCCAGUCUGCAUGGAGCCGACCUUGAAAUACCACCCUUUAAUGUUUGAUGUUCUAACGUUGACCCGUAAUCCGGGUUGCGGACAGUGUCUGGUGGGUAGUUUGACUGGGGCGGUCUCCUCCUAAAGAGUAACGGAGGAGCACGAAGGUUGGCUAAUCCUGGUCGGACAUCAGGAGGUUAGUGCAAUGGCAUAAGCCAGCUUGACUGCGAGCGUGACGGCGCGAGCAGGUGCGAAAGCAGGUCAUAGUGAUCCGGUGGUUCUGAAUGGAAGGGCCAUCGCUCAACGGAUAAAAGGUACUCCGGGGAUAACAGGCUGAUACCGCCCAAGAGUUCAUAUCGACGGCGGUGUUUGGCACCUCGAUGUCGGCUCAUCACAUCCUGGGGCUGAAGUAGGUCCCAAGGGUAUGGCUGUUCGCCAUUUAAAGUGGUACGCGAGCUGGGUUUAGAACGUCGUGAGACAGUUCGGUCCCUAUCUGCCGUGGGCGCUGGAGAACUGAGGGGGGCUGCUCCUAGUACGAGAGGACCGGAGUGGACGCAUCACUGGUGUUCGGGUUGUCAUGCCAAUGGCACUGCCCGGUAGCUAAAUGCGGAAGAGAUAAGUGCUGAAAGCAUCUAAGCACGAAACUUGCCCCGAGAUGAGUUCUCCCUGACUCCUUGAGAGUCCUGAAGGAACGUUGAAGACGACGACGUUGAUAGGCCGGGUGUGUAAGCGCAGCGAUGCGUUGAGCUAACCGGUACUAAUGAACCGUGAGGCUUAACCUU